CGGUAAAGGCGAUGUGGCGUUUGCGGCUUCAACGACUUUAACAAUGAGACGUCGCUGAAUGCUGAGGUCUUAAGGAACAGGAUGGACCCUGCUACCCAGCUUCUCUGACCUUUUGAUAAAGGCUAAAAAGAAUUGCUAAAUAUUAAUAGGUAUUAAUGACCUGAGUGCGUUCUGGUCUCCGUUUUGCCCCCAAGGAGACAUCAGAUGACUGGCGCUUUGUCUCACAGUAGUGCUCUUGGUCUACUGAUGUCUUGUUCAUUAGGAGUGGUUUUUCCAGUCCAUUUUUUGAAGAUGGCCAUUAAUGAGGCAGGGCCAUUCAUGCUAUGGCAUCCUUGGCAUCACGCUCGAUAUCUGAGGCUGAAGUCUCAGUCUUCAAUUAUGUUGUGCUCCAGGCUGAUUGCAGUCCAACCCAAUGCAAUAUCAUUACCAUGCAGGUAGUCUAGAAAUCACUGCUUGCCUUUCAUUUUUAUUUAGGUACUUAAUAAUUUUGUCAGACAAAUUAGAUUUGUAGUUAUUUGUUUUAUAAGUUAUGUGAAGGAAUCGUAACUUCGGGGGGGUGAAAUCCAUCUAGCUCUCUGCUGAAGAUGGAACAGGCUUGUGUGUUUAAUGAAAGAAAGGUCCUCUUCUAGGUGCUUGAUGUAAAUGGACAUGACUCCAAUAAAGCAGUGGGGGCUUCCUGGGGUGUACAUGACUUCCCUCUCC
Non-coding RNA from Paramormyrops kingsleyae, 702 nucleotides. NCBI's taxonomy places the organism in Eukaryota, Metazoa, Chordata, Actinopteri, Osteoglossiformes, Mormyridae. The record is from RefSeq and is a predicted model, not a curated record.